This 243-nucleotide long non-coding RNA is filed under the name Elaeis guineensis (African oil palm). RNAcentral describes it as "long non-coding RNA (EGUI_LNC034939)". Lineage: Eukaryota; Viridiplantae; Streptophyta; Magnoliopsida; Arecales; Arecaceae. The record is from RNAcentral.
GUCGAUCUUACCAAUGAAUUAGGUGCCUUUAAUAUCCUUUCCUCCUGGUGAAAAUUAUCUGUUCGUCUAGAAUUCUUUCAAUACGAUCAUAUUUUUUUGAAAAUUUUGGCUGUAGACACCCAGGUUAGGGUUAACUCUUAAUGGAUGGGUUAGGCUCAAACGGAUCACUAGGUAUCGUUAUUGGUUCUUUAUAUUUAACCACAUUCAAAACAUUAAAAGUAGAGCAGAUGCCAUAAUCAGGCA